CUUUUUUAAAUAGCCACCUACGUUGGUAUGGAAUGUUUGUGAGCAUAGAUUGUGGAAAUAGAUUGUGGACAGCAUGUGGAAAGGGUUGAUGUAUAGCUGUACCAACCAUAAAAUCAGAGGGAACCAUACACAGACUGGGUCAUCUCAACCCACUUUCACCAUCUUGACUAUGGUGCCUAUCUACGCUGAACACAUUUGCCCUUAAUAGAUGCUGUAUGAUCUUCAUAACAUGUCAUAGAGUCACAGAAAAGUAUAAACCUGGAAUUGGAAAAACAUGGAGUUCUGUGACUGGAACAGAUGAAUGUGAAGGGAAGGUGUCACUCCAAAACUAACGGCAAAUUUCAGAUGAUCUCAUAUAUAUAUACACCACAAAACUGUGGUGGAAAAUUGGAAUUUCACACUGGUAACUGGAGAAUGUUUUCUUUUAUGUCAUGAUUUGUAACGACUGGCUCCAAUGCAAAACAAAUAAAUUCAGUUCCUAAAAGGAGAAGAUUUUGACCUGAAGGUUUUUGGCAAACCUUUGAAAAAUAUAUUUUCAAAUAUAAAAUAUAAAGCUUUUUUUGAAUAUAAAUCACCAAAAUGAAGUGCUCUAACCCUAAAAGCAGAUCACACUGGAGAUCACUUGAAGGAGCUAAUUAUCUAUAUAGGUGACCACAGUUCCCUUGCAAGUUGGUCAAGGUUUGGUUCCAAACUUUUCUUCAAAAAUCACCCCCAAAUCAACUGAUUUACUCAAUGGUUUCCCUCUGUGUACUAAAUAAGCCCAAAUAUGUCCAUGUAUUGUUUGAUUUAAUUAGUUCUAGUCUUGGAUUUUUUUUUUGACAGAAAGAACUCUGAGUUUAUCAACAGCUUGAUAAAUUCCUAUUCCCAAGACCACAGCGGCACACAUCUGUUGACUUCAAAAUUCUGUGAACAAGUGUGCUAUAGAAACUUUGUGGAAAAAGCAACUGAGUCAUCACUUUUCAUGGAUGAUUUUUUUUGACAGACAACUCGGAGCUUAUCAGCAGCUUGAUAAAUUCCUGCUCCCUGGGCCACCGUGGCACACAUCUGUUGGCUACUUCAAUAUUCUAUGGACAAUCUUGUGGAAAAA
Molecule: long non-coding RNA, 1087 nt
Organism: Mobula hypostoma (lesser devil ray)
Lineage: Eukaryota; Metazoa; Chordata; Chondrichthyes; Myliobatiformes; Myliobatidae
Exons: 3
Source: RefSeq, a predicted model, not a curated record